This 496-nucleotide ribosomal RNA is filed under the name uncultured bacterium. RNAcentral's name for it is "partial 16S ribosomal RNA". It matches the Rfam family "Bacterial small subunit ribosomal RNA", at positions 29 to 507 of the family's 1533-position model. The record is from RNAcentral.
AUGCACGCUGGCGGCGUGCCUCAUACCUGCCGGUCGAGCGCACAGACGAGGAGCUUGCUCCUCUGACGUUAGCGGCGGACGGGUGAGUAACACGUGGAUAACCUACCUAUAAGACUGGGAUAACUUCGGGAAACCGGAGCUAAUACCGGAUAAUAUAUUGAACCGCAUGGUUCAAUAGUGAAAGACGGUUUUGCUGUCACUUAUAGAUGGAUCCGCGCCGCAUUAGCUAGUUGGUAAGGUAACGGCUUACCAAGGCAACGAUGCGUAGCCGACCUGAGAGGGUGAUCGGCCACACUGGAACUGAGACACGGUCCAGACUCCUACGGGAGGCAGCAGUAGGGAAUCUUCCGCAAUGGGCGAAAGCUUGACGGAGCAACGCCGCGUGAGUGAUGAAGGUCUUCGGAUCGUAAAACUCUGUUAUUAGGGAAGAACAAAUGUGUAAGUAACUAUGCACGUCUUGACGGUACCUAAUCAGAAAGCCACGGCUAACUACGUG